RNAcentral lists this ribosomal RNA (492 nucleotides) under uncultured bacterium. RNAcentral describes it as "partial 16S ribosomal RNA". It matches the Rfam family "Bacterial small subunit ribosomal RNA", at positions 29 to 507 of the family's 1533-position model. The record is from RNAcentral.
AGUGAACGCUGGCGGUAGGCCUAACACAUGCAAGUCGAACGGCAGCACAGUAAGAGCUUGCUCUUACGGGUGGCGAGUGGCGGACGGGUGAGGAAUACAUCGGAAUCUACUUUUUCGUGGGGGAUAACGUAGGGAAACUUACGCUAAUACCGCAUACGACCUACGGGUGAAAGCAGGGGAGCUUCGGACCUUGCGCGAUUGAAUGAGCCGAUGUCGGAUUAGCUAGUUGGCGGGGUAAAGGCCCACCAAGGCGACGAUCCGUAGCUGGUCUGAGAGGAUGAUCAGGCACACUGGCACUGAGACACGGUCCAGACUCCUACGGGAGGCAGCAGUGGGGAAUAUUGGACAAUGGGCGCAAGCCUGAUCCAGCCAUACCGCGUGGGUGAAGAAGGCCUUCGGGUUGUAAAGCCCUUUUGUUGGGAAAGAAAAGCAGCAGGUUAAUACCCCGCUGUUCUGACGGUACCCAAAGAAUAAGCACCGGCUAACUUCGUG